CUGGCGGCGUGCCUAUACAUGCAAGUCGAGCGGACCGACGGGAGCUUGCUCCCUUAGGUCAGCGGCGGACGGGUGAGUAACACGUGGGUAACCUGCCUGUAAGACUGGGAUAACUCCGGGAAACCGGGGCUAAUACCGGAUGCUUGAUUGAACCGCAUGGUUCAAUUAUAAAAGGUGGCUUUUAGCUACCACUUACAGAUGGACCCGCGGCGCAUUAGCUAGUUGGUGAGGUAACGGCUCACCAAGGCAACAAUGCGUAGCCAACCUGAGAGGGUGAUCGGCCACACUGGGACUGAAACACGGCCCAAACUCCUACGGGAGGCAGCAGUAGGGAAUCUUCCGCAAUGGACAAAAGUCUGACGGAGCAACGCCGCGUGAGUGAUGAAGGUUUUCGGAUCGUAAAACUCUGUUGUUAGGGAAAAACAAGUACCGUUCGAAUAGGGCGGCACCUUGACGGUACCUAACCAAAAAGCCACGGCUAACUACGUGCCACCAGCCGCGGUAAUACGUAGGUGGCAAGCGUUGUCCGGAAUUAUUGGGCGUAAAGCGCGCGCAGGCGGUUUCUUAAGUCUGAUGUGAAAGCCCCCGGCUCAACCGGGGAGGGUCAUUGGAAACUGGGGAACUUGAGUGCAGAAAAGGAGAGU
This 644-nucleotide ribosomal RNA is filed under the name Bacillus sp. (in: firmicutes). RNAcentral describes it as "bacterial SSU rRNA". It matches the Rfam family "Bacterial small subunit ribosomal RNA", at positions 36 to 662 of the family's 1533-position model. The record is from RNAcentral. Lineage: Bacteria; Bacillati; Bacillota; Bacilli; Caryophanales; Bacillaceae.